Molecule: ribosomal RNA, 310 nt
Filed under: Prasinoderma singulare
Lineage: Eukaryota; Viridiplantae; Prasinodermophyta; Prasinodermophyceae; Prasinodermales; Prasinodermaceae
Description: partial Bacterial large subunit ribosomal RNA
Rfam family: Bacterial large subunit ribosomal RNA
Source: RNAcentral
GAAACAUCUAAGUACCCGGAGGAAGAGAAAACAAUAGUGAUUCCGAUAGUAGCGGCGAGCGAAAUCGGAUCGGCCCAAACCGUUGUUGUUUAGGCAAUGACGGGGUUGUAGGACCACAAUGUUCUUUGCGCGACGAACCGGAAGCAGUUGGAAAGCUGCACGAUAUGGGUGACAGUCCCGUACGGGCAAGGAGCGUUAAAGAUAGUGGUAUCCUGAGUAGCGCGGGGCACGUGAAACCCUGUGUGAAUCCGGCGGGACCAUCCGCCAAGGCUAAAUACUCCUGAGAGACCGAUAGUGAACCAGUACCGUG